Molecule: ribosomal RNA, 373 nt
Filed under: uncultured bacterium
Lineage: Bacteria
Description: bacterial SSU rRNA
Rfam family: Bacterial small subunit ribosomal RNA
Source: RNAcentral
GUAGGGUGCGAGCGUUAAUCGGAAUUACUGGGCGUAAAGCGUGCGCAGGCGGUUUCGUAAGACAGAUGUGAAAUCCCCGGGCUUAACCUGGGAACUGCGUUUGUGACUGCGAGACUCGAGUACGGCAGAGGGGGGUGGAAUUCCACGUGUAGCAGUGAAAUGCGUAGAGAUGUGGAGGAACACCGAUGGCGAAGGCAGCCCCCUGGGUCGAUACUGACGCUCAUGCACGAAAGCGUGGGGAGCAAACAGGAUUAGAUACCCUGGUAGUCCACGCCCUAAACGAUGCGAACUAGGUGUUGGGGAAGGAGACUUCCUUAGUACCGUAGCUAACGCGUGAAGUUCGCCGCCUGGGGAGUACGGUCGCAAGAUUAAA